RNAcentral lists this ribosomal RNA (253 nucleotides) under uncultured bacterium. Its description in RNAcentral is "partial 16S ribosomal RNA". It matches the Rfam family "Bacterial small subunit ribosomal RNA", at positions 524 to 776 of the family's 1533-position model. The record is from RNAcentral.
UACGGAGGGUGCGAGCGUUGUCCGGAAUCACUGGGCGUAAAGGGCGCGUAGGCGGCGCGGCAAGUCUGUGGUGAAAGCCCGAGGCUCAACUUCGGGUCGGCCAUGGAUACUGCUGCGCUCGAGCACUGUAGAGGCAGGUGGAAUUCCGGGUGUAGCGGUGGAAUGCGUAGAGAUCCGGAAGAGCACCGGUGGCGAAGGCGGCCUGCUGGGCAGUAGCUGACGCUGAGGCGCGACAGCGUGGGGAGCAAACAGG